GGUGUCAAAGUUUAAUGAUAAAAUGCAAGAUUUUGGUGUGUGAUACUUACGUGGGAGUAGCGCCUGCCUAGCAUGCACAAGGUCCUGGGUUCAAUUCCCAGUGCCUCCA
This 109-nucleotide transfer RNA is filed under the name Camelus bactrianus (Bactrian camel). It matches the Rfam family "tRNA". From Rfam's summary of the family: Transfer RNA (tRNA) molecules are approximately 80 nucleotides in length. Their secondary structure includes four short double-helical elements and three loops (D, anti-codon, and T loops). Further hydrogen bonds mediate the characteristic L-shaped molecular structure. tRNAs have two regions of fundamental functional importance: the anti-codon, which is responsible for specific mRNA codon recognition, and the 3' end, to which the tRNAs corresponding amino acid is attached (by aminoacyl-tRNA synthetases). tRNAs cope with the degeneracy of the genetic code in two manners: having more than one tRNA (with a specific anti-codon) for a particular amino acid; and 'wobble' base-pairing, i.e. permitting non-standard base-pairing at the 3rd anti-codon position. Lineage: Eukaryota; Metazoa; Chordata; Mammalia; Artiodactyla; Camelidae. RNAcentral also lists the same sequence under 2 other names. The record is from Rfam by way of RNAcentral.